Molecule: long non-coding RNA, 868 nt
Organism: Oncorhynchus keta (chum salmon)
Lineage: Eukaryota; Metazoa; Chordata; Actinopteri; Salmoniformes; Salmonidae
Exons: 5
Source: RefSeq, a predicted model, not a curated record
UCUGCCCCUGUCUGCCCCUGGGGGGGUAAUGUAAUGUAGGGGAUAUUACACACACAAACACACCGCACAAAUACACAUAAAACAACAUAGACAAAGACGCAACCAGAGUUCAACAGGGGUUAGACAGGUUAGGAGAACCAGGUGGUUCAGAGUUCAACAGGGUUAGACAGGUUAGGAGAACCAGGUGGUUCAGAGGUCAACAGGGUUAGACAGGUUAGGAGAACCAGGUGGUUCAGAGGUCAACAGGGUUAGACAGGUUAGGAGAACCAGGUGGUUCAGAGGUCAACAGGGUUAGACAGGUUAGGAGAACCAGGUGGUUCAGAGGUCAACAGGGUUAGACAGGUUAGGAGAACCAGGUGGUUCAGAGGUCAACAGGGUUAGACAGGUUAGGAGAACCAGGUGGUUCAGAGGUCAACAGGGUUAGACAGGUUAGGAGAACCAGGUGGUUCAGAGUUCAACAGGGUUAGACAGGUUAGGAGAACCAGGUGGUUCAGAGUUCAACAGGGUUAGACAGGUUAGGAGAACCAGGUGGUUCAGAGUUCAACAGGGUUAGACAGGUUAGGAGAACCAGGUGGUUCAGAGUUCAACAGGGUUAGACAGGUUAGGAGAACCAGGUGGUUCAGAGUUCAACAGGGUUAGACAGGUUAGGAGAACCAGGUGGUUCAGAGUUCAACAGGGUUAGACAGGUUAGGAGAACCAGGUGGUUCAGAGUUCAACAGGGUUAGACAGGUUAGGAGAACCAGGUGGUUCAGAGUUCAACAGGGUUAGACAGGUUAGGAGAACCAGGUGGUUCAGAGUUCAACAGGGUUAGACAGGUUAGGAGAACCAGGUGGUUCAGAGUUCAACAGGGUUAGACAGGUUAGGAGAA